Gasterosteus aculeatus aculeatus (three-spined stickleback) is the source of this 635-nucleotide long non-coding RNA. NCBI's taxonomy places the organism in Eukaryota, Metazoa, Chordata, Actinopteri, Perciformes, Gasterosteidae. The record is from Ensembl.
ACACACACACACACACAGGGUUGAUGUAGGUAAUGUCACUUUGGCAUCAGCCUUCUCUCCAACUCACUAAAUCGCCGCUACUGGGCCUUUUUUUGAAAGGAAGAGAAACACUUCCCACGUAGGAUGGAGCUCAGGUCAACACCUCCACCUCGCACCGCUCCCCUCUCCUCCACCCUGUCCCCGCUGCAGCCCAGCCAAACCACGCCAGCACACAUCAUGAAUUCCAACGUCAGUAUUUCAUCAUGACCUCGUUGUGGUUUUCACAGAGACGAGCAACAGUAACUGAGAGGGGAACCUUCCGGUCUGUCCACCAAAUCCUGAGCAAAGAAACGGCGAAACUCAGCAGGACUCAUGAACAGAAGAUUUAGUUUACGUGACGUAGUCUUUCACUCCGGACCAGCCUUAUUUUGGCCACCUGUUCAUGCUCCGGUAGAUCCCGUUGAAGACGUUUCCUCCUGCCGCUGAUGCUGGUACAUGUAAGACGAGAGCCCCCGCCAAACUGUGAGAGGGGGCUUUCUGCCGGUGCCAAUGGGUCAGAACAGAACAAAUGGAACUUCUUUAAACAUGUGUCUGCUCAUAUAUAAAACAACCACCAGGCAUGGUUUUAGACUAUUUGUGAAAUAAAGAACAAAGUG